Molecule: microRNA precursor, 71 nt
Filed under: Erinaceus europaeus (western European hedgehog)
Lineage: Eukaryota; Metazoa; Chordata; Mammalia; Eulipotyphla; Erinaceidae
Description: miRNA (ENSEEUG00000019654.1)
Source: RNAcentral
GGAAGUGUGUGUGUGUGUGUGUGUGUGUGUGUCCCCCUUAACUGUUCUGCGCAGGUGCACACACGCACAUG